GGUCAUUUCAGCAGCCCAUAUAUUAAAAUUUAGAGGACGAGAAGCUUAGCAAGACCCCUGUGUGAAGAUGACAGCCUAAUCCGUGAAGCAGUCCAUAAUUUU
Molecule: small nuclear RNA, 102 nt
Organism: Apodemus sylvaticus (European woodmouse)
Lineage: Eukaryota; Metazoa; Chordata; Mammalia; Rodentia; Muridae
Source: RefSeq, a predicted model, not a curated record